CGAAGCCUUCGGGCUUAGCGGCGGACGGGUGAGUAACGCGUGGGAACGUGCCCUUCUCUGCGGAAUAGCCACUGGAAACGGUGAGUAAUACCGCAUACGCCCUUCGGGGGAAAGAUUUAUCGGAGAAGGAUCGGCCCGCGUUAGAUUAGGUAGUUGGUGGGGUAAUGGCCUACCAAGCCUACGAUCUAUAGCUGGUUUGAGAGGAUGAUCAGCCACACUGGGACUGAGACACGGCCCAGACUCCUACGGGAGGCAGCAGUGAGGAAUCUUGGACAAUGGGGGCAACCCUGAUCCAGCCAUGCCGCGUGAACGAUGAAGGCCUUAGGGUUGUAAAGUUCUUUCAGCUGGGAAGAUAAUGACGGUACCAGCAGAAGAAGCCCCGGCUAACUCCGUGCCAGCAGCCGCGGUAAUACGGAGGGGGCUAGCGUUGUUCGGAAUUACUGGGCGUAAAGCGCGCGUAGGCGGAUUGGAAAGUUGGGGGUGAAAUCCCAGGGCUCAACCCUGGAACUGCCUCCAAAACUACCAGUCUAGAGUUCGAGAGAGGUGAGUGGAAUUCCGAGUGUAGAGGUGAAAUUCGUAGAUAUUCGGAGGAACACCAGUGGCGAAGGCGGCUCACUGGCU
Molecule: ribosomal RNA, 621 nt
Filed under: Rhodovulum sp. MB16
Lineage: Bacteria; Pseudomonadati; Pseudomonadota; Alphaproteobacteria; Rhodobacterales; Paracoccaceae
Description: bacterial SSU rRNA
Rfam family: Bacterial small subunit ribosomal RNA
Source: RNAcentral